GCCACAGAACCUGUGAGUGUGUAAUAGUGUGUGUGUGUAUAUGUUAAUUGUUACUAUUAUGUGUGUGUGUACGUGUACCUGUUUGUCACUUUGUGUGUGUACCUGUGUCUGUAUGGAAGUGUGUGUGUGCGAGUGCAUGCAUUCAAGCAAUCAAACAUCAUUACUACAAACAAACUACAAUUAGAUUUUUGGUUAAUAUUGCACCUUGUCUACAUUCUACAAAUUAUAUUAUUAUUAUAUAAAUUCCACAGUGCUGUACAAUAGGUGGAUUAAAAGAAAACGUAAUUGUAACCAGACAAGUUGGAUGCACAGGAACAGAGGGGUUGAGGGUCCUGCUCAAUGAGCUUACAUGCUAGAGGGAGUGCGAUAAAGUGACACAAAAGGUAAUGGUAGGGUAGAAAACUAGGUUGCUAGAAUAAUAUUCACUAUAUGACAGUUACAGGAGAUGAAUCAGGGUGCGGGGGCUAAACUAUUAACAGUUUACUUGAUAUGCCUUCCUUAAGAAGUGAAUUUUCAGUGGUGACUGGGUGAACAUCAGAGAAGGGAAGGGAGUUCCACAGGAACGGUGCAGCCCUAGAGAAAACAGAGGAUAGAUGUAGGUCUUCAGCAGAUCGUAGGGGCCUUGACAGGACAUAUUUGUGUAUUAGGAAGGAUAGAUAGUUUGGAGUAGCAUUAUGUAGAGAUUUGUAAACAAGAUUCAGAAUUUUAAAUUGAGCAGUGCAGACCAAUGCAGGGAUUAACAGAGGGGGUAGACGUAAGAGGUGCGGGCAGGCAGGAAGAUGAAAUACAUUUUUUAAAAAAGCACUUCUAGCGCUUCCGAUAAUGUUAGUAGGCAGCUAGGACAACCCAAGCCAGAGUUUUUUUCAUCCUGGUAGUAGGUAAGAUGCAAGAUGAAGAAAGAGGGUUGGAGCGCAUUGUGAGUGUCUUCUGAUUAAGAUGGUGCUCAGUGCAUGUAAAAGAGCAGGAGACAAUAUUGUGUAGUAGGUACCUAUACUUGGUGAAAAAAAAUAUAGAAAUGCUCACUAAUAAUAAUAAAAAAAAACAGUAUUCAAAUAAAAUAAAAAAAGAGGGUUACUGAAAAAAGAAGAGAAAAAGUGGUUUUGCUCAAUCCAAAUAGCGUAGGUGGUAAAAUUCCCACCAAUGAUACUUCUGGAGUCCUCUUGGAUAACAUCUUCUAAAAGCAAUUAGGAGGGUCCAAAGUAGAUACAAAAAUAUACACUUUUUGUUACAUAACAUAUAAAAAUACACUUGACUUGUUUUGUCAAAUCACAGGGUUUUUAAAAAGUGUUGAAAAGUGAUCCUGACAUACUUCCUGGAAAAUUGUUGCUGCACCAGUAUAUCUACAGGCAGGGAUCAUACCGCCCAAGCGCUACUAUUUGGAGCUGUUUAGAAGCUCCAUAGAACUGUAAGGGCAUUUCUUUAUUUUCUUCACCAGGUAUAAGUACCUACUACACUAUAUUGUCUCCUGCUCUUUUACAUGCACUGAGCGCCAUCUGGAUCAGAAGACACUCACAAGGCGCUGUGACCCUCUUUCUUCAUCAGACAGGAAGUUGAGUCUCGCCACCACACUCAUUAUAGACUGUAAUGGGACAAGUUGGGAGCACGUAAGACCACUGAGAAGUGGACUGCAGUAGUCUAAGCGAGAGAGGAUACCGGCAUGGACCAGCACCUUAGCUGCAUCCAGCGUUAACGUGGUUCACCUUCAGUAAGGCUUUCUCAAAGUGUUUACUUGAACACUUUGAGAAAGCCUUACUGUAGGUGAAACACAUUAGUGUUUUUACUAUUUGACUCCAAAUAAAGAUAGUCAUUUUAUGCAAUUUGGAGUUUCCUGACCUAUCUUUGGCCUAUUUGGAUUAAGCAAUACCUAUAUUUGCUCUCUGUUUGGCAGUAUACCUCUUUUUUAUCUGAUUUUUUUUUCCUUUUAAAAAAAAAUAUUCAAAGAGCACUAUAUUUUGUUUUUAUUUUCCCUCCUAUAUACUGAGGACAUCUGACUGCUGGAGUACUGCACAUCAAAUAAGAACACUUCUACAACUGUGAAAGAUGCCUCUGAAUACGCACAAGAACCACCAACAUAUCCACAGACGGGGAUUGUACAGUCGACAAGGUGACUUUCUGUAUCAAAGUUUGUUCUGUUCGAGUCCACCCUUCCAAUGUUCUAUUCAGGAGACACUCCUAUGGAGUUAAGUCCAGUCGUCUAUUAAAAAGUUUUUCCAGAACAUAGCCUACUGCAGACCAGAGUAGCCUAAUCCCACCACAUGUAUAGGUAUGUGCCUUUGAGGCUGCAUCCCCUCCAGCACAAGUUAGUUGGGGUCUGGUGCAUGCGAUAGUUUCACUGGUUUCAGUCAGAAACAGCCUCUCAUAAAAGGUCAGAAUUUAUUCUCGCGGUCUCUUUAAUGCAGAUUGCAAAGUCCCUUAUCUGUAAAUAGCGAAAGAAGUCAGCUGGGGUAAGUGCAGGGCUGGACUGGGGAUACAAAGCAGCCCUGGAAAAAAAAUUUGUGCCAGCCCCAUAAGUCACUGCGCCAUAUAUUGUCGCGUGUAAUAUGUAAGGCUAUGUCUUGCCAUGACAGAUGAUUGAGUAAUAUAUAUAUAUAUAUAUAUAUAUAUAUAUAUUUUUUUUUUUUUAUUUUUAUUUUUUUCUAAUAUAAAAUAUUGGUGCCUCUGAUGCAUUGAAUCAAUGUAUCUCUAUGGGGAACGUUCAGCAACUACAGAGUGUGGAGGCCCUGAAUGUAGGUGCACUGACACAUGAAGCACCUCUAGUGACCGUCUGAGUGACUGUCACUAGCAGUGCCACUUUGAAGCAAUGUAAACACUGCCUUUUCUCUGAAAAGUCAGUGUUAAAGUUGAAAAGCCUGUAGGGACAUGCUAUAGACACCAGUACCACUACAUUAAGCUGUGUGUGUGUGUCUGCUAGUGAGUGAACUUGCUUGCAUGCGUGUGCCUGCUAGUGAGUGAGCUUGUGUUUUUAUGUCAAUGAGCUGAUGUAUAUCAGUGAGAUUGUUUGUCUAUGAGGCUGUGUAUCAAUGAGCUUGUGUGUGUCCUUGAGAUGUCAGUGAAAUUGCCUGUGUCUGCAUGUGAGUAUGCUUACUGUAUAAUUAAACGUUUUACCCUGAAAGGACCAAUAUUUUAUAUUAGAAAAAAGAAAAAAAAAAAAAAAUAUAUAUAUAUAUAUAUAUAUAUAUUACUCAAUCAUCUGUCAUGGCAAGACAUAGCCUUACAUAUUACACGCGGCACCUGGGGCCGGGCAGGUGUUUGCCUGGCCCCAGGUGCCGACGGCCCACCGGGAAAUUUCCCGGUAUCCCGGUGGGCCAGUCCGGCCCUGGGUAAGUGUGGUGCGUAUCUGAAGUUUAUCAAAGGACACUAUCUGAGUCCCUUCAUAUAAAUGACAAUAUAUCUGGAGGCCUGCCCGUUCUAUAUUUUGGAAGUCGCAGACUGACAUACCUGAAGGGAACGCCUGGUUUCUGAGUAAUGGAGUGAGUGGGGACGGGGAAGAGGAUAAGCCAAAUUUAAAAGCUAUUGCAUCCCAAAUUCUGAGAGUUAAGUAUAGCUGGGCACGUGGACCGUAAUAUCACUCUGCUAUUCCGAGGAACCCACAUAUAAUAUUGGGGAAGAUCUGCUCCUGUCAUUAAGGAUUCCAAGUCAACCCAUUUCCUAACAUCUAUGAUUACAUGCAACAUUGCUAUGUGAGUAAGCUGUGCAGCUACAUAAUAAUAGUAAAGAUGUGGCAGUCCCAGUCCUCCCCUUGUUUUUGGGCGGUAGAGGACGUUUCUGGAGACCCUGUGCCUCUUGUUCUGCUAUAUGAAUGAACCUAUAGCACUUUGUAGAGGUGCUAAGUCUGCUUUCGUAAUCUUAAUCGGGAGGGCCUGGAACAAGAAUAGAAUACGCGGCAAUAAGUUCAUCUUCAUGGAUUGAACUCGGCCGAACCACGAUAUUGGUUUAUCCAUCCAAUAGUCCAUAUCUUUAAUCAAUGUUUUUAAUAAGGGUUUGUAGUUCAUUUUGAACAAUUUAGAGGGAUCAGCCAUUAGUCCCCAGGUAUUUGAGGGAGCGCUGUACCAUAUGAAUGCUAUAAGUGGAUUGGAAAUAUGCCAUGUCUUCCACUUACAUGCCCAAGGGGAGGGCGCUAGAUUUAUUCAUAUUCGCUUUAUAGCCUGAGAUGGAGCCGUACGUCGCCAAAAGAUCCUGGAGUUCUGCUAUUGACCCUACUGGGUUGGUAAGCUAGACUAAAAGGUCAUCUGCAUAUGCAGAUACCAAAAAUUCUGAAACCCCGACCAUGAUCCUGUAAAUAUCCGGAUGUUCACAAAUAGCUUGCAGAAGGGGUUCCAAUGAUAACACGAACAGCAAUGGAGAAAACAGACAACCCUGCCACGUACGGUUACCCAACUUAAAAGGCAUAUUCAGAGCUCCCAGGAUACGAACCUGUGCAGUCACAUUGCUGUACCAUGGUGAGAUAAGAUGGUAGAAGCCUAAAAAGACAAGAAGACCAAAAAUAUAGGGCCAGUGGACCCUAUCAAAGGCCUUUUCGGCAUUUAGGGAGACAAGUAAAGAAGGGAUCCUGGCGGUGACUUCUCUUCAGAUCAGAUCUAUAUUCCUGCGUGUGUUCUCAAAUAAUUGACGCCCAGGUAUGAAACCCACUUGGUCUGCAUUGAUUAAUUUGGUUAAGUAGGGGUUCAACCUGUCCGGUAGAAUCUUGGCCAGUAUAUUGGAAUCAUGAUUGAUUAGAGAGAGAUGGGCAACAGGGGUCCCUGUCCGGUUUUGAUAUCAGGACUAUCGUAGCUAAAGACAUAUCCCUAUCUAGGGACUCGCCUUCCUGUAAAUCGUUAAAGAGCAAUUCGAGCUUAGGGGUCAGAUCUUCCCGAAACACCUCAUAGUAUCUACCAUCAAAACCAUUUGGUCCCUGAGCUUUGUUCCCUUUAGGGGUCGAGAUCCCUUUGCAAUCUCCUCACUAGUGAUCUUAUAGCCAAGCCUUCCAAAUGCAUCUGGGUGUAGUUUAAGUAGAUUUAGUUUAGAAAGAAAAGAGCCCACGUGCCCGCUUUGUGGGCUGGCCAAAUUGUGUUUGGCAUGAGAUCUCACGUAUCGUUUUAAAAAAAAUAUUCUUGUAAUUCUUUAUGAACAGCUGAAAUGAUUGUAGGGUCCCUCAACAAUUAAGCGUUCACUUUCCAGGACCAUGUCGAGGCCGUACACAGAUUGCCUAACUGAAGGGAAAUAUCCGCAUGUUCUGACUAAGUAAUCGAACCGAUCUCGGAGCCAACGACUCAGGCUAGACAGUGAUUGUUAACUAGGAAAUAAGCUAUCCGGGGAAAUGAAUCAUGGUGCACUGAAUGGAAAGAAUAGUGCACGUCUGUGGGAUGUUGUGCCCUCCAGAUGUCUAUAAGCCCGGUAUUCUGUAUGAACUUAUGGACCAACUUGUCCUGAUCCCCUCUACCCUGUGAAUGUUGGAGUUCUCUGCAAGAGCUGCGGUCGAUGGCAGGACACGGCACAGCAUUAAAAUCACCAGCCAUCAGGAUCAUGCCAUGUGGUAAGGCCCACACUCUAGUCUCAAGAAAAUCCCAAAAAUCUGGAUUGGGGGCGUUAGGAGCAUAAAUAUUAAUUUAAUUUUAAUUAAUAAUGGGAGUGCAGUGUGCCAGACAACAUCACAUAUCUGCCCUCUGGGUCCAACUCAGAACUAGUGAAAUGGAAAGGACAUCUAUUAUGAAUCAGAAUCGCCACCCCAUUAAAUUUACAAAUGGCUCUAGCAUCACAGACUACACAAUAGGAGUGAUCCCUCAGUGGUAUGCCAGCAUGUUUGGGGAGGUGUGUUUCCUGGAGAAAGGCUAUGUCCGAAGACAGACAUUUCAGUUCCCUAAACAUAAGCCAUCUUUUCCUAGGGGCAUUCAGACCCUUAACGUUUAAAGAUGUAAUCUGUAAUGUCAUUGUAGUCGAUAAGUCUGCAAGCUACCAUCUGUGUCAAAAGAGUGAUAAAUAAAAAGUAGCAUUCCCAAACCCAUCCUGACAACCCGGCACAUGGACCCCCCCACUGCUGCCCCCCCAACCCUCCAAAGCGACCAGAAAAAUAUAUUGAAGGGAGAGGAAAAGGAAGUAAAAAGAAACAGAAGAGAAGUAGCACAAACUAGUAAUGCUAAUCGCCUGGACGUACCAAUCGCCAGGCCUCUAUGGGGUGCAUGACUCAGCACCUCCAACCCGAAAAUCAUGAGCGGGAGUCGCUGACCCAUAGACCCGGACAGAACCACAUAUCUUGCCAUAACAAUCAAUACCAACUUCUUAACUCCCUUCACAGGUGCUCUGCUCAACACCAACCUGGAACGCCCCCUUAUAAGGAGGGGAAGAGAGGGGGGUAUCAAGAUCAUGAAGGGUCUGAGGGAGAAAAAAACCCUUCCCCUUCAAAGUGUAUCACUGCCCCAGGGAUCUAGAAGCUUGGGACCCAACCUAUUGGAGCAACACAAUUCCCUAGAGAUCUAAACCCAUCCCCCAUCGCCUACUGUACGCAGGUGGGUACCUUGUAAUGUUUAUCUAAACCGCCAGAUAAUAUCCAUACCAAAACUAUCUCCAACCUUUUAAGAGUGGAGCUCACAUUGAACAGUGUUCUUUAUGUUGCAUGAUGAUAACAGGUGGACCUCAUAACUAUGGUCUACUCUACAAUUUCAAACCUUCACGGAAAGCAUGGCCAAUUGCAUCACUGGGUUGAUUUUUAAAGCCAAUAUGGAUGCUGAUAGGCCCACAAUAGACUGUCAGGGAUUAUGUAACCAAGCCAACAGAACCACUGUGAAGUUUCGCAAUUGACCUUGCCUCGCAAUGGCGUAUAGACAUAACCUUUAAACCAGAAAUUCCACUAAAGAUAUCAGGGCAAAUUUCUGUCAGCAAAUGAAAUAUUCCACAUCUACACCAUGCCUGCUCUCUCCCCUGUGAUGCCAUAUACUCAGAUCCUAAAACACUGGGUUAAACAUAAAAAAGUAAAUGUCAAUAUGGCAUCUCAUGGUCCCCCUCCUCUGUGGGUAAUCGCUGAGUUGUGUGCCUCCGUCGUGACUUCCAGCUGGUGCUCCACUCUGGCCCUCCAGGUGCCCAGGGCCUGAAUCUCCCCCUCAAGACUCCUGUGAACCGUACGAUCUCUUCAGCCAGGUAAGUCUUUAGGGUUAACAGGAUCUGUGCCAUGUCUGGCUGGGGGGAUUCUCCACUUGUGGUGGCUUCAGUCCACUGUGGUGUGUCUCAGGCUGGCAAUCCCGGGCCGCCGCCAUCUUGUGGUCCAGGUGGAGGGGCCCUCGAGGCCGCAAAUAGAUCUGCUACCAUCGCUCCCUGUUCCAGGAGUUUUUUGGAUGGACAUUUAUCCAUUCCUAGAGGAAGGUAACAAUUUAGAUGGUAUAGAAAUGCCUUUGUAGCUUAUGGCAGCGAUACUGGAGCAAAGCCUCAAGCAAACACAUCCAGCUCGCUCCUUGUCAGACCACGCUCCCAUAUUUCGAUUUUUUUAACUGAGGAUUUGGGGUGGAGGUUGGGGGAAGCACAAAUUACAGCUAGGUUUCAGUUGCCUACUAGAAUUACAAUAACACUAUAACAUUCUCUUUAAGAAAGGAUCAAGAAACUUCUACAAAAUUUUGAUUAAAAUUAUUUUCAUUAAAAUCUAGCAUGAAUAUAAAUCUAUUACGUUCUGCUUUAUUGAACAAAAAAACCAAAAAACAUUUUGUUGCAAUAUGACAAUACUAUAGAAUUAUUCAGACCAGCAGUGUGUACAUUUUCCAGUUUUUGCUUUAACGUAACACAGUGAAUAGGGGAAUUCAUUUUUCUAUAAGUGAAUCUUUGUUGGCUCAGCAAUGUUUAAACAAGCUGCUCGCCCUGAACAGGAAAUUAUUAGUGAUCAAGACUGGUGCUAUAAAGAUUGCAGUUUGCUAUGUCAGAUAUGUGCAUAAAUGAUACAGUGUGUGUAAAGUAGAUUGUGGUUAAGAGACGCCGUAUCAGGCCACAAAAUGGCUGUAUCCCACUGAGACACUUUUUGUGCUAUGGCUGGCCCACACAAAAUGAACACUCACAGAGGGUAGAGUAACAGCGUGAGGCAAAUGUAUACUUUGCAAACCUCACAGCCCUUAGUAAUAGCCUUUACUUCAAUAAAUUCAUAUUAAUUGCUAAAUAUGUUGCUACCUCGGGGCUUAAAGGGUUACUCCAACUGAACAGCUGCAUUUUAGUUAAAAAAAACAAAAUGUCAAUAAUGUCUGCUAACCACCACGGCAAAAAAUAAUAAAGAAAAAAAUUAUUAAAAUUUAUGCAGCAAAAGAAGCAGAGGUGCUGUAAGAUUUCGGCAAAGUGAGGGAAGCAAACUUUAAACCCUGAUUUUGCAUUUACUGUUCAUAUGAGUAAUUUAACCCCUUAUUACCUAUGGGAGAGAGGCGGCUUUGAGGAUAAAAACAGCCGGGACUUAUAACAUUGAUAAACAUAACACACGGGUGGUCAUUGGUGUCAACUGGUGAGGAAACAGAGUCUAUGUCCCUUAGACAUACACAGACUACUCUGAACUCUCAUUCAUAUUGUGCUGACUAUACUGAUGAAGGCCGCGUGAUAUGUUACACAUCAAAACUCCAGCAGCCUUUAUUUUUAAAAUCUAUAUAUUGCAUGCUCUGUGUGAAUUGGACCAUCUUCACAGAAAAAGGCCAUUUGUUUGUACUUUCUAUAACCUAAUUAUAUUCUUUAUUUUUAUUGUGCAUGGUGUUUACAGAGCAUAUCAAUGACGCCACAACAGCGUAAACAUUUAUCAUUGCGGUAUGAACAGUGGCAUUGAAAAUGGUAACUGAAACUAUCAAACAUAUUAUUUGUGCAUUUGUUUGUACUUGCUCCUCAGACCAAAGAUUGUCAGCUCGUACCUGGUGCGCAGUCUGAUAAGAGUCCAUCUUCCAUACCCUCAAGUCAUUCUGUAGCAUCCCAUAAUUUCAAGAGUGCACCUGAUGCAGCGAAUCCUGGAAAGCGACACACAUCCUUUGCAAAAAGGGUAGCAGUGUUCUUCUUCAUAUGCCAUCACUGAGGAGAAGAAGCAAUCUUUAGGUAAGUAUAUCUUUUAAACUAUACCUUUGAUGGUGAUCUCUCCAUGACAUGAUGUAUUAGGUCAUUCUAUUCUGACCUAAAGGUAAACUUGUACGGAAGACAUUUUUAGAUGACAGAUUCAUUUAGAAGAUAAAAAUCUCAUAUUCCUCUUUGUGCCUAUUAUUUACAGCAAGCCUAUUCCCAAGAAAUAUUCCCUAGAAGAAACACUGUAACGUUGUGCGUAUAUAUAUCUCUGUAUUCCUAAGGCUACAGUCCUGGAGCAACCCAAUCUGUAUAAAAAUGAAAUAAUAAACUAAUUACUUACUCUUUCUCCAGCACCGAGUCUCCCUUGACGCGGCUGCGACUUCCUUGGGUUGCAUCAUUCACGAGGUGUGCCUCCAGGAUAACUGGACAAUGAUGGGGAACAUAGGCCCAUGCGCGACACUCUUCGCGAUGCACCUACAAUGCCUUCAUAGAGAAUCAUUGUACUCAAUAAUUCUCUAUGGACAACCGUAACGGCACUACGCGUGUGCGCACAUGUGACGUCACUCACGGUAUGUUACUGUAUGAGAACCAGGAAAUAAGAUUCCUGUCUCUCAAACCCAGAAGGCUUUAAAGCCUUCUAAUUACUUUAAUAUUGGCUUUUGGAGGGUAGGAUGGGGGACAGGACUGCAGGCACUAUAACAACUUUAAUAACAUGAAGUUGUUAAAGUGCCUACAGUGUCUCUUUAGUUUAUCCACAAACUUGGGUUACAUUGAAUUGCAUUCAUUCUAUUUAUUUAACAUUUAAUAUAGGGGAAGCCAUCAUUUGGUACUUGUUACAUUACCCAAACUCUGGAGGUUUCCUUUUAGGUGAGCAUAUCUGUUAAAAUUACAUUGGAUUACCUGUCUAGACCCAGAAUUCUUUGCAGUAUAAUUAGCAUUUUAUUUUAAGCUUCAUUCAGAGCAUAUAGACUUGGCUCUUGUCUGGCAUUUUGUUUCACUUAACUUAAACCUAAAACAUCUUAAUCCUGAAACAAGCGCAGUACCUGGAUCAAGAUGAUUAAAAGUCUGACUCACUGUCUAAUUGUUGUAUCUGAGGUAUAAACAAUGAAUUAUCUUACUGACAAGUAUUACGGAAGGGCUUAUCCACUUAACAGCUUAUUGUUGUAACUAACAAGUGAAUUUUGCAGACUUAACCUCAACACCAACUGAUGGGAAAUUUUCCAACUCCUCUAAAAUUCCAAAUUCCACGAUUUGAGGCCUUUCAUUUCAUUACAGAUCAUUUAGAGCUAUUGUGUGAAGUGUCACAAAUUCAAAGUGAAUUACAAGUGAAUUUUCACAUUUUGAUUAGAUCCUCCUAAAGUUUAAAUUUUACUUUCAGGGUUUAUAUCCUGAAGUGAGAAUUAUUGAGAAUUAAAAGUAAAUAUGAAAUUUAUUCCCGUCAGUUUCCUCCUUUAGUAAAUUGUCUGCAAGUACAUUUUUAACGUUACGUUAAACUAGUCCGGGAAAUUAAACAUGGUUUAUUUACUCAAGUAUAAAUAAAAGUCUUAAGAAUUCAAAGUGAUUUUCAAAUUUAAGGUCACUUUGAAUUUAUGUUGAAUUCCUGACAAUUCUCAGUUUAGUACAUUUCACUGUGUGACUUUACUGUGUUUCUGACCAUUAACAUGUUCGAGUAAAUAACAUUGAUUGUUUAAUGAAUUUAGACCUUGCAGUUAAAACCACAGUACCAGAGGCAGGCUACUUACCCAUUCCCAAAAAUGUAACAACCACCAACCUACCUACUUAUGUCACGUAAGCUCCUAAUUUUAGUGUGCUCUCUUUCACACAAUGAAUACUCCACUUCCAACAUGCAUUAUUUCUGUAAUUCAAGUUCUUCCUGAUUCUCAAGCUGUAUUCACCUUUGUUCUUCUGUCAUCGUCUACAUUUACUGAAAUCCUGAAUUAUUCUGCAUUCUUCAUAUUAAGGGUAAGCUUUUACCUCUCCUCCCCCCCAAUGUUUUAUUAAAACUUUUUUUAUUUUUUUAUUUGGAUUAACACUUUAAUAUGGGAGAGAAAAAAUCCAUAUUGAUCCGUGAGAUUCUGAUAUAUCGAUUGACAUACCUUACUUUAUAGCAAGGCACUGUGGAAUUUAAACGUAUUAAUAUUUAUUACCUUGAUAGAAGCUAAUUCAUUCAAUAUCUUAAUAAUCUAUCUUAACUAUGUAUGCCAAAAAAGCCUCCCUUUCCUGCAUCAUAGGAGACUGUUAAAAAAAAAAAAUAUAUAUAUAUAUAGCAUGUCAGAAUGACUCAGCUUACUGGUUUCAAAGGAUUACAACAUUCUCUAUGAAUGAGACAAAAAUAUUCAACUUAGGUUCCAUUUACAUUUAGAAAGGCACAAUAUUACAUAUCUAAUGUAUGGGUUAGUAUAGCAUGCAUUGUGCGUACCUUCUAAGAGUACGUUCUGACCUGUUCAUGCAGUUAUUAUUAUUAUUAUUGGCAUUUAUAUAGCGUCAACAAAUUCUGUAGCACUUUACAAUAUUAGUUCUACCACAAAUCAAAAGACAUGUCUCAUUGAAUGCAGAUUUAAACUCACAUUGGUUUUGUUCAGAUAUAAGCACUAUAAACGUUUUUUUUCUUCUCAUUUUAAUGUUAUAGAACACCUCGCUUGUAAUCUCAUAGAAAGAGAUAACAUUUUAAUGUUAUUUACAUUGGUGUCAGGUGUAGGAUAAGGAGGUAUUAGUUUUGCCUGGCACUGCCACUGAGGGUACAUAGGACCAGAUCACUAGGCACAUCCUACCCAUUAUUCUUUUUGAUUAUAGCAUAAUAUACCAGCGAGGGGGAUUAGGAAUACCUGCCCCAUCCUGUCCUCAGAAAGAGUGAUGGUCAUCAGCAACUCUUGCCAAAUACAGUAAUUAUUUUACCCCUUGCACAUGAGGGGAGGAAGAACAUAUAUAUAUAUAUAUAUAUAUAUAUAUAUACACACUGCUCAAAAAAAAAAGGGAACACUUAAACAACACAAUGUAACUCCAAGUUAAUCACCCUUCUGUGAAAUCAAACUGUCCACUUAGGAAGCAACACUGAGUGACAAUCAAUUUCACAUGCUGUUGUGCAAAUGGGAUAGACAACAGGUGGAAAUUAUGGGCAAUUAGCAAGACACCCCCAAUAAAGGAGUGGUUCUGCAGGUGGUGACCACAGACCACUUCUCAGUUCCUAUUCUUUCUGGCUGAUGUUUUGGUCACUUUUGAAUGCUGGCGGUGCUUUCACUCUAGUGGUAGCAUGAGACGGAGUCUACAACUCACAGAAGUGGCUCAGGUAGUGCAGCUCAUCCAGGAUGGCACAUCAAUGCGAGCUGUGGCAAGAAGGUUUGCUGUGUCUGACAGCGUAGUGUCCAGAGCAUGGAGGCGCUACCAGGAGACAGGCCAGUACAUCAGGAGACGUGGAGGAGGCUGUAGGAGGGCAACAACCCAGUGCAAGGAGGAACAGGAGGAGCACUGCCAGAGCCCUGCAAAAUGACCUCCAGCAGGCCACAAAUGUGCAUGUGUCUGCUCAAAUGGUCAGAAACAGACUCCAUAAGGAUGGUAUGAGGGCCUGAUGUCCACAGGUGGGGGUUGUGCUUACAGCCCAACACCGUGCAGGACGUUUGGCAUUUGCCAGAGAACACCAAGAUUGGCAAAUUCGCCACUGGCGCCCUGUGCUCUUCACAGCUGAAAGCAGGUUCACACUGAGCACAUGUGACAGACGUGACAGAGUCUGGAGACGCCGUGGAGAACGUUCUGCUGUCUGCAACAUCCUCCAGCAUGACCAGUUUGGCAGUGGGUCAGUAAUGGUGUGGGGUGGCAUUUCUUUGGGGGGGCCGCACAGCCCUCCAUGUGCUCGCCAGAGGUAGCCUGACUGCCAUUAGGUACCGAGAUGAGAUCCUCAGACCCCUUGUGAGACCAUAUGCUGGUGCGGUUGGCUGGAGUAAGUCAGCAGUUCCUGCAAGAUGAAGGCAUUGAUGCUAUGGACUGGCCCACCCAUUCCCCAGACCUGAAUCCAAUUGAGCACAUCUGGGACAUCAUGUCUCGCUCCAUCCACCAACGUCACGUUGCACCACAGACUGUCCAGGAGUUGGCAGAUGCUUUAGUCCAGGUCUGGGCGUUGUAGGGAGGUCAUACAGGCACGUGGAGGUCACACACACUACUGAGCCUCAUUUUUACUUGUUUUAAGGACAUUACAUCAAAGUUGGAUCAGCCUGUAGUGUGUUUUUCCACUUUAAUUUUGAGUGUGACUCCAAAUCCAGACCUCUAUGGGUUGAAAAAUUUGAUUUCCAUUUUUAAAUUUUUGUGUGAUUUUGUUGUCAGCACAUUCAACUAUGUAAAGAACAAAGUAUUUCCAAAGAAUAUUUAAUUCAUUCAGAUCUAGGAUGUGUUCUUUUUGUGUUCCCUUUAUUUUUUUGAGCAGUGUAUAUAUAUCCAUCCCUGGUUAAUAAAGGGUCCUUGGGAUGCUUGUAUAUUUUUUGUCAUGUGAAUCCCCAUACACCGUUAUGCCUCCCAAGUGUCCCUAUUUUAGCCCCAUAUCCCUCUGUCCCUCUUCUUUAUCCUACUGUCCUCUUUUCUAGGACCUCCAUAUUGUUCGACUGUCAAAUCAUUGAAGUGGUCUUGGUGCUCGGAGUAAUCCUGUAAUUAUUGGAUUUUUAAAUUGUAAGGGGAUAAAAUGUUCAGUCACAGUGCAGGUAAUUGCUAAAGAAGACACCAGCCACAACAUUAAAACCACUGACAGAUAGACUGGGCGCCAGGAUCAUGCAGAGGCGAUUAGCCGUCAACCCUUGGUCUUGUCUCCUUUCUAGACCUACAGAGCAUCUAUCCAAACAUGAACAGAAACAGAUAACCCUGAUUUACUUAGCAAUCCGCAGGGCACUGUCUCAGAAAUGGAUAAGCCCGAUGUGGUGGACCGCCAGUAUAUCACCACCACGGAUUCCCUUUCCCAAAAUAACUUAGCUCCAACACUCAUCCAAGUAAAUAUCGCUGGUUUUGCCUUUCCCCCCCACACAUUAAUCGAGACUAAAUGCUAGGAGUAGAUCUGUUUAAUGCAGGCAAGCACUCUCAAUUUAUACAUACAGUAAACUUCUCCCCUGUGCCUGUCAGAUAAUUGAGUCUAGAAACUUACAUCUCAAUUAUCUCCCAGGUACAGAAAAAUAUAAAACAUUUUAAACACCCCAAAGGUACCCCCAAAAUCCAUGGAAACCCCUUAAGAGUUACAUCCCCAGAUAGCCCUGAUCUGAGUACUUAACAUAUCCAAAAAGCACUCAGAUUGGUUCAGUGGUUUGGAUUUUCCAUCGAGUUACACAAGGUAGAAGCCCAAAGGAGUUUCAACGAAAUCGUGGCAACGGCCGGUCUCAGUUCGAUGGUUUUUAUGUGGAAACCAUACAUAAUAUGCGUACACUUUUAGGUGUCGAAUGCUCCCCCAAUUCGGUAGUUAUAUAUAUCUCCCGAAUGCCGUUCCUAUAGGUUAUUGGGAACUUGUACAGGCAGCAGUUCCAUAUUCACCGGUGUUUGCGGGAGUGCCUAGCUGAAAUAAGUUCCAGGCACUCGACGACCAGGUACUGCUGCCUGCUUUCAGAAGACAAGAUGGCCACCAUCCAUUCUGUCGACCAUGUGCGUUCGGUAUACGAAAUGAAAAUGACCCAAGGGAGCCUCUUAGUAAUAGUUUCCAUUGCGGUUUUGCACUGUAUACUUUGGAUUCCACAUUCUAACUAGAUGUUGGGGUGGUCUUCAUUCGGGAAUCGAAGGGGAAUUUCAUAUGAACAAAUUAACAGGGGAAACGAUUACAACAGAACCAAGUGACAGGGCAUUCCUUUACACCCGGAAAUGUCACCACUCUCUUUAGUUAUUGCAAAGAUAAGGGACAAUUACUCAAAGUGAUGGGGCAUUCCUUCACAUUGAUCCCCCUUUGCCCAUGGCUCCGGCAGACACUGUUUGACCCUUUUCAGGUCAACUUGGGGAUGUCCGGGAAAUAAAUCAGUCUUUUGGGUUGGCUAGCUCGGUCUGGUGAGAUAACCUGUCUACGUCCCCAUUCUGUUUACCGGGUCUGUAGUGGAUGGUAAAAUCGUAUAGCUGCAGGGCUAGCCUCCACCUCAGGAGUCUGGCAUUGUCUCCAGUGACCCGGUUGAGCCAUACUAGUGGGUUGUGGUCGGUGAUGAGGGUGAAAGCUCAUACAUAAAGGUACAGUGUUCAUUUUUUCAGUGCCCACACCAGAGCUAGGCACUCCUUUUCAAUAGCAGCAUAGCUGACCUCUCUGGGUAAUAACUUCCAACUCAGGUAGACCACUGGAUGCUCUCCCCCGUCCUCACCGACUUAGCUUAAAACUGCACCCAGUCCAAGCAUGGAAGUGUCUGUAUGGACGAUAAAACGUUUGUUAGGAUCUGGGGCAUCUAGGACAGGGACAUUGAUAAGAGCAUGUUUUAAGGCUUGGAACACUGUCUUACAUUCUGGGGACCACAGGACAUUCCUAGGUAAGUUCUUUUUGGUUAAGUCAGUCAGGGGCUUGGCUAUAGCACUAUAUUCUGGGCCAAAAUGUGUAUAGUAGCUGGCUGUCUCCAGGAAAGCCAUGACUUGUGUCUUGGUAAGGGGAGUGGGUCGGUUAGCAACGGCCUCAAUCUUGGCAAGUUCAGGCAAUUGCUUUCCACAUCCUACACGGUGGCCCAGAUACUGUAUCUCCGCCAUACCAAUAUAACACUUGUCUGGUUUCAAGGUUAGGCUGGCCUCUCUAAUCCUAUCUCGUACGUCACUAUAUGCUCUAAGUGAGCCAUCCAGGUGUCACUGUAAAUGGCUAUGUCAUCAAGGUAUGCACACGCAUAAUCCUGGAGACCAUCUAACAGGCGCUCUACCAUCCUUUGAAAGGUGGCUGGGGCAUUCUUCAUCCCGAACGGCAUAACCCUGAACUGGAAUAAGCCAAACGGGGUGACAAAGGCUGAUUUGGAGAUAGCCUCUUCUGCUAGGGGAAUCUGCCAAUACUUUGCACAGGUCAAUGGUAGUCAGAUAUCAUCCUCUAGCGAUAUGAUCUACCCUAGGCAUGGGGUAGGCGUUGGUGACUGUCUUAUCACCAGGGGCACUCUGAGGGUUCGAUGACCCCUAAGCGCAUCAUCUCGUCGAUUUCCUUCCGCAUUCCUUCCCGGACUGCCUCGGGGAUGCGAUAUGGGGGCUGAUGUAAUGGGGUCUAGCCUUGGGUGUUUACUCUAUGGGUAGCUAGGAUUGUGUAUCCAGGUUAGUGGGAGAACGUGGCCUGUUUGGUUUCCAGCAGGCGGAUGGCUUGAGCCAGUUACUGGGUCUCUAGUAUGCCUUGCUGUACUAACUCUAUGGCCCCUACUCCAGGGUCAUCUCCUAAUAGGUCUCGUAGUGGUAGGGCCUCGAGGUCUUCUGAGGCUUCUGCAGCUACAUCUUCCUCUCUGCCCAUGUACUCUUUAAGCAUGUUAAUGUGAAACAUCCGUUUCACUUGCUCAUUCUCACAGCUGGUUACUGUGUAAGUAGUGUCGCACACUUGCCCAAUCACCUUGUAAUGUCCCUGCCAUGCCGCCUGUAGUUUAUCAUGUAGUUAACCAUAACUUUUUAUCCAACCUGAAAACUACGGUGCCUGGCAGUCGGGUCAAACCGAACUAGGGGAAUUUCGUAUGAACAAACGAACAGGGAAAACUAUUACAAUCGAACCAAAUGGUGGGGCAUUCCUUCACACCUAGAAAUGCCACCACUCUCUUUAGUUAUAGCAAAGAUAAGAUCAACUACUCAAUGGACAAAUUAACGUUUGAAACUCUACUAAGACUUUUCAAAAAGUGACUUAUGGGACUUAAGGCAACAAUUUGAUGUGUGUCAAGUUCGUGCAUUUCAUUCACCCCAAUUAUUGGCAAGGGGAGAAAUGAAGGGGGCAAGUUUAGGAAGAGCUCCAUCUUCUUGUGUCGUGGGUUUAUUUUGUUGUUCCUUUUGUUUUAUUUUCUUGAUUGUUCUUUUCAUGUCAUUGUGCCAUGCUUGAUAUCACGGAGUGCAUGUUGCCAAGUUACACUUAUUGUACUAUUUGAUUACAUGCCUAAUUUUGAAAAUCCAAGGUUUACAUACACACUUCUCUCUAUUCACAACUGAUAUUAUGAUCUAUUAACGUCUAACUUAUUGGGUAUCUCAAACUGGCAUACCUGUACUGUAACAUAUCAGUUGUACUUUGUGACAUGGCAUUGUGCCAUUUUAUGGUUUCUUUUUAAUGUAAAAUUCCUAUUGGCCAACACAGACUUACAUUACUGAAUGUAUGUUUUAAGCUACUUGCUUGCCUUUAAAUAAAGAAUUUAACAAAAAAAACAAAACAGAAAAAUAUUGACAGGUGAAGUGAAUACCAUUGAUGGCAUUGUUACAAUGGCACCAGUCAAGGGGUGAUAUAAAUGUUGAGCAGCAAAUGAACAGUCAGUUCUUGAAUUUCAUGUGUUGAAAGCAGGAAAUAUGGGCAAGCGAAAAGAUCUGACUGCUUGUGACAAGGGCCAUAUAGGGAUGGCUAGAUGACUGGGUCAGAGCAUCUCCAAAACGUCAAAUCUUAUGGGGUGUUCUCAGUAUACAACCAUCUUCCUAAAGCUCAUGUAUAAGUGUGUUUUCCAUAGCUCUGGUAUAUACACUAUAUAUAGUGACUUUUUAAUACACUUGCGCUAUUGUAUGUAUAUUGUUUUGAAGGUUCAAGGAUCUGUAUAGAAGAUAUAUAUUAAUUUGUGUCGACACAAUAUUCUCGUCCGGCACGAUUUUUUGUGUAAUAUAGAAUUAUUUUGCACAGUGCUCUGUAAGCACUUGGUAUGCACUUUGUGUAAGAUUUAAAAAAAUAAAUAAAAAGUUUUAUACACACACACCAUAUAAAAAUGUUUUGUCACAGUUUUUGAAUUUUUAAAAAAAAUUAUUAUUGAUUUUAUGUUUUAAGGUGGCAUGAUAAACAAGUGAUCCGCUCAUAUUUAGUUUUUGGGUUAUUUAUUGUGAAAGUAUAAGAGAACGCAUUGCAUGUUUGUAAGCAGCUAAAGGGAUAGAAAAAAAAAAAGAAACAAAAUUUGAAAGUAAAAAUAUAUUCUUGGGUGGAUACAGUGCUUUGCUGGUUAUUAAGUCUAUAUAUGUUUGGGAUAACACUUUCCGUCUGGAGGUCAUGGAGGGGAUGGGCAUAAAAAUGGGUACGAUAAAUUAGUCUAACAAAUGUGGUUAUGAUGGACUGGGACAGAAAGAAUGGACAUUUAAUUGAAUUUAACAAUGAGCUUGGUCAAUAAGAGCAGUUCCACAAAAAAUAUUAGACUGGCCCCACAGUAAUACUGAUUAUUUUAUAGGAAAAGCAACAAAUAAGUGGUUAACUAAAGGAACAGGACUUUAGUGGAGUCAAACAAAUUCCAUAUAUCAGAAACAAAAAAAAAACUGUACAAAAUAAGUCACAUACUACCUUGUGAAUAAGAUAACAUACAAAAACAAAAACACAACAAAUAAACAUACUUUGAGAAAAUCAACUAACGUAGAAACAUAGAAUGUGAUGGCAGAUAAGAACCAUUCGGCCCAUCUAGUCUGCCCAAUUUUCUAAAUACUCUCAUUAGUCCCUAGCCUUAUCUUAUAGCUAGGAUAGCCUUACGCCUAUCCCACGCAUGCUUAAACUCCUUUACUGUGUUAACCUCUACCACUUCAGCUGGAAGGCUAUUCCAUGCAUCCACUACCCUCUCAGUAAAGUAAUACUUCCUGAUAUUAUUUUUAAACCUUUGUCCCUCUAAUUUAAGACUAUGUCCUCUUGUUGUUAUAGUUUUUCUUCUUUUAAAUAUAGUCUCCUCCUUUACUGUGUUGAUUCCCUUUAUUUAUUUAAAUGUUUCUAUCAUCUCCCCCGUCUCAUCUUUCCUUCAAGCUAUACAUGUUGAGAGUAUUUAAGUGAGAAUGUUAGACAUUGACUAUAAUAUUAUAUUCAUCUUACAAAACCAAGAUCACCUACUUGAUUUGAUACAAUAUCAAAGGGAUAAAUAAAUCUUCAAUAAUGCCAAUUUUCCUACAUACAGAUUAAACGACAAGAAACCAGCUGGAAAGCAUAAGAAUGCACUAUAGCAAUGACUUUGCAGUAAUUCUUAGAUAUAUUGAAAGAUCUCUCGUUAACAAGUAAUUAUUGAUUCAUUGACACUGAAGUGAAUGAUGCAACAUUUCAUUAAUAGAUACAAACAGUCAAUAUUCCUGUUAAGGAGUAGGAAUGAGAUUUAGUUCUAAGAAAGCUCAUUACAGAUUAGAAGACUUGCUUUAUGCAGGUGGGUAAGACUGCUGGUCAUAUGAGCUUGGUUAUCCUACUGUGUGCACUGCUCAAUGACAGCAUUCAUACACUAAGAUUCACAUUUCCAUCAUCCAGAGAACAUUGAAUGUGUAAAACAUAGGUAGGACUAAUAUGUCUUACUUGACAACUAGAUACAAUAUUUGUAAAGUAUAUAAUAGUAUAUUAGUGAUUAUUUAUUGCCAUUACUGAAUGUCCCACAGCUUUAACAAAUUAUAUAAUUUCGAACUCACCAGAUAAAGGCAGAUGUCAUGCAUAACUUGUUUCCCUUAAAUUAAUUUUUUUUUAGGACUUUAUCUGAUACAAACCCAAAACUGGUUUUAAGGCUCAUUCAACACAUGUAAAGGCUGUAGUAUUUAUUGCUGAAGAGUUUUGUUAAUAAACACUCCUUAAGGCAAUAGAAAAAAAAAUAACCGAUUACGAAUUUAUGAAUGCCUUCACAAUCUCUUAACUCCUUCCAGUGCGCCCACGUGGUGUAGUACCAGAAGCAUGACUCCUUUCCAGCAGAUCGGUAAAUCCCACGCCGGAUGCUGGGAUCACGCCCCUUCUUAUGAUGCAACGCAUGCGCAUCAACGUCAUUACAUUGGCAUUUGCGUAAUUUUCACCGACCCAGAAUGUUUUGGGGGCAGGGCCGUAAAAAAGCUAAAGUCACUCUUAUAUUUUUAAAAAGUGUGCUUUUUGCUUUGUACUUUGCCCUAUUGUGGUCCUUAAAGUUCCCUCUAGUACUGCUCUUUGACUAUUAGUGCUUUCUUGGUAUUUUUGACCCUGCUUGGUAAUUGACUAUUCUAUUCUCUGGUUUCCUGACUCAGCUUGUGCCUUUCUGGUGUCUUGACCCGGCUAUUCCUUAAUCGCUCUCCUGAUUUCUGGCAUCCUUAUAAUUUUUUCUGUCAUAUGUCUUGACCCGGCUAUUCCUUAAUCGCUCUCCUGAUUUCUGGCAUCCUUAUAAUUUUUUCUGUCAUAUGUUAAGUCCGAUCAUACUAAGGUUCGGUAAUACGUUCUUUGUAUACUGUGGGGUUACACACUGCGUGUUGAGGUUUACUUAACCAUGACAAUGUCGUAAGAAGUUACAUAGCUGAAAAGAGACUUGCGUCCAUCAAGUUCAGCCUUCCUAAGUUAUAAACAUUAAAACCAUAGAUCCAAGUUCCCUUCUGGGAGUCAUCAGGCUGCCAGAAGGCUUUGCAUAAGAACACCUGUGUCUAUUCUAAUCAUAGAUCAUAAAUGAAAAAUUACUACAGCAAUUCCAAUUUUAACUCCAACAUUACAUCACCUCCCUGAAGAAACACUGAAACCCAUUCUGAUCACAGAUAUCCUUCAAAAAAAAUAUACAUGGCAUCUUCUCAAACAACACAUUACCUUCUCUCAUUCUUCUCUCAGCUCCCUUUACCCCGGCUGGGUACCUCUGCCAAAGACCACUUCCUAGCUGAAACCAGGGAAAAUCUCAGAGCUUCUGCCCCAGCUGCCGCGGCUUGACUGGGUCCUCCUGGAGCCUCUCCGCCCUGAAGCAGGAUAGGGGACUAGCUAGCUCUAUUCCCUCCCAGGGACUGGACGACACACAGUCCUGGGAGCCGUAGUCCUUAUAAGGACUUUUCCCCCUGAAUCCUCCACUAGCUGGAACAAGGUGUUGAGCAGUGAUUAGCCCUUUUCCCUCACAGUAACUAGAUGACACAUGGCUCUGGCAGUACAACUGACUUUAAUGAGAGAAACUCUGCCUUUUAUACACAGACCCAGGAAGGGGGUCUCCAUUGUAUUCAGCACAAGUGCCUCCCAGGAUGCGUUAAAAACCAGUAAGCAAAUUAUUUCCCAGGAACAGAGAGGCAAACACAAAAGCAUAAAACAUAAGAAUACCCCAAAACAUCAUAAAAACAUACAAUAACCACACAAAUAAUACAUUCUUAAAUAGCCCUGAUCUGUGUGCUGAAUUCUAUAAAUAGCGCUCAGAUCCAUGCAAUGUAAGGGAAACUCCACCGUGUUAAAAUUCUGACCGGCCGCACACGUGUUCCUAUAACCAAAAUAGUUCCAGGGCAUUUGGUGCUAUUGCCGGUCAACUUUCGGGAGUCUCUGCGGCCGCAAAACAGGCUGCUCCGUCUGGCUUUCAGGUAGCUUUUGUUCCCCUUCGUCUCAGGCACCUUUCCAUCAAAAGCGUAAUUCAAAUUUGUCCGGAAACCACAGGGACACCUCAUGUUGAAAACAGUUCCAUAACAUUUGUGACAAGUACUGCUGAGGUGACCGGUAGCCCACAAAGUCCUCAUGCCAAAAUUUGUUCUAUAGCAGUUGCGGCUAAGUACCGCUGAGGACUAUUCGUGGGUUUCAUUCAUUUGAAUGGCCGCCAGGGAGCUAGCAGUUAGUUCCAUUCCAAUGAAUGGAAAGUGCCGAACCAGGGGCACCCAGGGAAAGCGUUUAACGGUGGCUGGGCAGGGUAACGCCCAAACGGUGUCCCAGACCUGGACCAUAAUCGUGGGCAGAAGGCCAGCUUCCACACUCCUCCAGGAGUUCAUGGCAAACAUAUGUGGGAAGGAGCGUUUGUCACAACUCCAUACUCACACCACCUUCUACCUCACCCCUUCCAUUUUUACAAAAUAUUUGAAAGACACCAAGAACAUCCAAAUCACACCUGAACAGUGGCACAGGCUUUUUCUCCUCACCACAAAAGUGCUGUCCCCAGUAAAAAUAUCAAGAAAUGUCAUACAAGGUCCUAAUGUGCUGACAUAGGACACCACACAAACUCCACCAAAUACUAGUCCUCACCACUUACGAUGCAGCCCAUCUGUGUACAUAACAUGUACUUUGGGGUAAGCAGUGCACAUGGAUGUUUAAAUUUGUGACUGUGCAUCCAAUGCUAGAUGAUACAUUUUUUCUUUAAUAUGAAUAGGUUUAGGAUCUUUAAUAUGACACGGCACGUAUGUUUGGGGUCUGUUGGAGUGCCGAAUAUUGUGGUCCCUGAAUGCCGAGGGCAGAGAAAGAGGGGCUUGAAUUGACCGACCAGAGCUGAAAGAACUGAACGAGCACUGGAGCGUCUGCUGUGAUUGACCGGAUAUCCGAGGGUGACUCGUGGUGAAAACCCCUACAAAAACGGACUGACUAUAACUAAUGAGAAGAUUAAACUGAGAUCUGAGGGGGGCUUCUUGCUGCCUGUAUGACCGACCGGAGAUUCACCACUAAAACCAUGUAAGACAAGCUUGGCUGUUGUAUAUCAGUGGGCAAGUUGACUGUUGCUUGAGAGGAGGUCUAAUUGAGACCUGUGCAAGGCUCCAUGUAUGCCAGUUAAGUGUCUGUGGAGGUAGCUAUAUACAGCUUGACAAUUAAAAAAUACGCCGUUUCACUGUUUAAAAAACACGUCGUAUCACUGUAUCACAAAAAAACAGCUUAUAAUAGGCUGAAUACCUCAAGAUAUAAAAUUUAUAAACCUAAUUCCGAAUUAGAAAUUUGAUUGUCAUAGAAUUGUCAUAUAAUUAAAUAACAAAAGAGUAACAAAGGCAAGUGACUAAUUAAAGAGAGUGGAGGAAGGGGGAACGGAAAGUUAAAAAGCCACAAGAUUAGAGAGAUUGCUUGAAAAAGGAUAUGAAAAAAGAGAAAGAGGAUAGAGGGGAAUUUUUUUUUUUUUUUAACAAGUUCCUUCCAUUAUCUGAAUUUAAAAUCUUGUGUCUAAAAUGGCUCCAAAAGGAGAUAAAACUGAAAAAAAAACGGAGAAAAUAACGAACACUACUAAACAAAAUAAAUCACAAACUCUUAGCAACUUUUAUUCCCCUAAAAGCCAAAUGAAUAUGUCCACACUAUCAAAAAAAUCAUCUUCUGAAAAAUGUAUGGAAACAAGCUCAUCUAAGCAUACACCUGAGCAUUUGGGUUACAUCACUCAAGCAAGCCUUGUUGCUGCAUUAGAAUCAUUAUACGAUAAAAUUAAAUCAGAUCUUGAAAAAAAUCUAUCAGAUUAUAAAGAAGAAAUGGUUCAACUAAGAGACUCCUUAUUAAAACAAUCUCAGGAAAUUGCAGCAUUAUAUCAAAAGUUGAAUGAUAUUCAAAUCCAAAAUGAUUUGCUAAAAGCAGAUAAUAUUAAAAUGGAUACGAAUCUGGCUGAUCUCAAAGAUAGCUCUCGAAGAUAAAACCUGAAAAUGAUCAACAGAAGAAAUUGUGAACCUCAAAGAAUAUCUGAUGGAACUAUUAGCUGUUUUCCUGGACCCAAAAGUAUAUGGCCCAAUACUUAUAGAAAGAAUGCAUAGACUACCGAAGCCAAGUAAUCGAACUCAAUCAAACAGACCUAGAGUUGUGAUAAUCUGCUUUGCCAAUUGUAGAAUUAAAGAGAUGCUGACCAGAGUGAUGAGGAAAAACCCAUCAAAGAAUCCAAAAUUCCAAACGCUGUCUACCUUUACGGAUCUCUCAUUAACAACGAGAUUAAACAGAAAGAAAUAUCAGGAACUCACAGCAAGUCUACGUAAAAAUUACAUUCCUUACUUAUGGGAUUUUCCUACUAAACUACGUAUCUCAUAUAAAGAGAGAACCUUUAUAUGUUCGGACCCUCAGCAAGUCAAAGAUAAACUAACGGCAUGGGGCCUAAAAUUAUAAUCAAGAAUUCUUUUUUUUAAAUUGAGGAUACAAGUAUGAUAGAGAUAUUAUCUGACCUGUCUAAUGCAUGGUAUAGAAUUAUGAACACUUGAUAAAUUAGUAAUUAAUAAUCACCAUCACAAAACAGAAGCUGUAUAUAAUUUUUAUAUAGACACUACAUAAUAUGAUAUUUCUCUUAGAGAUUGAAAUUCAUAGUCACAGAAUAGACAGCAUACAAUAAUUAAACAACAUAAAUUAGAUUUUUAUAAUUAUCUAGAAAAUAAAUCAAGAGGUGUUUGAUAGAGGAGGUGAUGUAAUCAUUAUGGAUUUUUUUCUCAUUUUUCUUUUUUUGUUUGUUUGUUUCUGAAUAGUCCUAAUUAAACAAUAUGGAAAGCACUAUUUGACCCUUUUGGGAUAUAUGUAUGCUAGAGUAUUCAACAGAUUCGUCUAAUGCACUGAAUAGAAAAUUUGAACACUUGAUAAAAAAGAUAAUUGAUGAUCACCAGCACAGGAUGGAAGUUGCAUAAUAUUUAAGCAACAUAAAACAUUAGUUACUAUAAUCUUCUAGAUAAAAAUAUAGGAAGUGUGCUAGUUUUCUCUGACACAAAAUAGCCUCUUUACACAUUUGAUUAUAAAUAAUAAGGAAAGCACUAUACACUAAUUAUCUAUUCUAUUUAUGCUUCUAUAUAAUUGUAGGUUUUUGUUUUUUUCUCUGUGAUAGACUUAUCAUUGAUAAUUUUAGAAUCAAAUAUAUUUUUAAAGAGUAAAUGGCACUUCGACAGACCCUGAUAGUACAAGGAUUUUUUUUCUUUUUCUUGUGAUGUAUUUCUGCACAGCAAUGACGGAAGAUUAAGUAUAAAUGAGUUUUGUAUGAAUGUUUUCGUAUAUGUUUUUCUUUAUUUUUUUUUAGUCCAUUGGAUUGCUCUCUGGUGUCUCAGGAUGUGAGUUUUUUUUUUUUUUUAUAAAAUAGGAGGCCUGGAGGUGAAGUCAAGGGUGUUUGAUUUCUCUUAAACUGGUUACUCGCAGGGACUGAAUUCUCCAUACAAAAAAGAGCAUUUUCACAUGAUCUACUUGUUAAAGACAAUAUUGAUGUGGCUCUAAUACAAAAGACACACUGGAAACUAAAUCAAUCUCUAUUGUGGAAAUACAGUAGAUUCCUAUAUAUAUGUAUAUAUACACACACACACAUACAUAUACAUCUUCAUUAAUAGAAAAAAAGAAAGCAGGUGUCACUGUGAUUGUAAUAAAAUAAAAUAAAAUUUAAGUUAUACUUCAUGAUUCAGAUAAUGAAGGUAUAUAAGAUAUAUAAUUUUGAUUUGUCGUAUAAAUGACAUUAUGUAUACCCUUCUUAGUUUAUAUGCACCAUCUAAUUACUCAAAAUUUCUAAAUCAUUCUAUUGAAAUUAUAGAGAAAAUGUCUAAAGGUUUAUUGGUGAUCUAAAUAGUAUUUGUGAUUUUGACAAAGAUAGGAAGUCAGAUAAGUUAAUCAAAGAUCGCAAAAACGAAAAUAAUACUAUAACCAAGGCUGAAAUAUUUUCAAAUUCUCUUUUUUUUUUUAAGACAAUUUUUUAUUGGUUUUCAAGUAUAUGGGGUACAGAAGAGAGAAGGGAGUUAUAAGGGUAACAAUGGAAAAAAUGCCGACAAUAUGAUGAUGCACAAGAAUUGUUGGCAAGAUUAUCGACAAUGACAUUCUGGGUUUUGUAGGCAGACUAUAUCCAUAACAUCAUUACACCUAAUACAUGUAUAAGUAAGGUUACAUAGUAUAGUUUUACACUCUCGUAACGUCUGCCUGUUGUUAUGCGUUUGUGGGCAAAGCAGUCUGGUUUAGAAGGAGGGUUGGUUCUCUAUGCACGGUGUUGCGUGUCGGUACAGUCUGUUAAGCCAUACAUAACGGUCUUAGGGUGGGUUUUGGGGAUUUGUGGCUUGGUUGUAUAAGUAUGUCCACUGUUUCCACGUUGAGUGGAACUGCUGUGAUUCUAUACUAUGGGUCAUCGUCAUUCGUUCAUAGACAUGGUAUUGUUGAAUCUUGUCCCAUAGUUGUAAUUUAGAUGGGCAUAUGUGCGACUUCCAGUUCGUCGCUAGAAGGUUCCUGGCCGCUAAUAAUGUGAUGGCACAUACCUGUCUGUGUUCUCUAGCGAGAUCACUGGGGAGCAUAAGCAUGAGGUAUGUUUGCGGGCUUGGCAGUAAGUUUGCUAUGCCCAGCCUACCCAGCAAUCUCCUAACCUCUGUCCAGAGGGGUUGAAUCACCGGGCAUGUCCACCAUAUGUGAAGGAAUGUACCAGUGUCUCUUGAACACCUCCAGCAUGUUGGUAAUACACUGGGGUAUAUUUUAUGCAACCGAAUUGGCGUCAUAUACCACCUAUAGAGUAGCUUCCUAUGGGCUUCUAUGUGCGUGUAACAUCUAGUGAGUUUUGAGAGGCUAUUUAGGGCUCUUACCCAAUCUUCCUCUGAGAGUUGAAGGGAGCAGUCUUCCUCCCAUUUAGUCCUACAGAGGGGGAUGUGCUGUGGUAAUGUGGUUUCCCACAUUUUGUAGCAGAGGGAGAUGGCUUUUGGUUUGCUUGGUGUGGCCCAACAUCUGUCUAAGAUCCCGCCCACUAAUAGUGAUUGCUCCCGAGUACUGUUGUGCAGGUUCACAUGAGUCAUUAUGGUCCCUUUGAGUCUUAGGUAGGUAAAUACUUCACUCAUCGGUAGGUGCCAUUUGGCCUGUAUAUCCGCGAAUGCUAUUACACCCUUAUUGUCUAAUAAGUGUUGGACGUUGGUGAUUCCUGCCUUAGCCCACCUUGUUAGAGGGAGGUCAAGGGAUGCGGUUCCUAAGGCAGUCAGUGGUGCCCGGGUAUGGAAGGAGAGUUUGCACCCCAUUGUUGCCAUAAAUGUGUCCCAUACGUUAAGCGUCAGAGACGUUGUGUGAAAUAGGUCUAGUUUAGGGGUCCGUAGGUGUUUAGGCGUCCAUAGGACGUCAACUAUAUUUAAUGCUUGUAGUUGGGCAUUCUCCAUAUCUACCCAGUUGAUGUCCCCUUUAGGAGAGUGUAGCAUUAUGCCAGCUGUUAACGCUGUCGCCUUAUAAUAUUGGUUAAUGUUUGGUAGUCCCACUCCACCUUGUUUGACCUCGGUAUACAGAAGUCUAUUAGGGAUCCUGGGCUUUUUAUUGUCCCAUAUAAAGGUGUUGCAUGUGUUUUGUAAGCUCUUUAGCAGAGGUUGUGAUACUUUGAGAGGGAGCAUACGGAAAACAUAAAGAAUUUUGGGUAGUAUAGACAUUUUGAAGGCAUUAAUCCUUCCUAGCCAGGAUAGGUGUGUGUGUUUCCAUUUUAGGGUUUCCGCCCUGCACGUUUGUGGUAAGGUUAGGUAGUUUAAUUUUACAGUUUUAGCUAUGGAUGUUGCUAUUUUGACUCCUAGGUAUGUAAGGGAGGAGAGUCUCCAGUCAAAUUGAUGUUGUCGUUGUAGUGUCUGUGUGCGUUCCAGUGGUAGGUUAACCGUCAGUGCUUGAGUUUUAUCUUGAUUAAGUUUAUAGUGGGAAACUAAGCCAAAGUCGGUAAGGGUGUUCAUUAGGUGUGGUAAGGACUUCUCCGGGUCUGUCAAUGACACCAAAACGUCAUCGGCAAACAAUGCCAGUUUGUGUUCCUGGCCUGUCAUGAUAACUCCUCUUAUGUCAGAACUCGUACGAAUCUUAAGCGCCAGAGGUUCCAAUGAUAGAAUGUAGAGGAGGGGGGCCUUGGCGCAUCCCAUUAGUGAUGGAGAAUUUUUCAGAUGUGAAACCUCCAUUGGAGACCUUAGCCGCAGGUGCGCUAUAUAGUGCUUCUAUCCCCCUAAUCAUUUCGGACGGGAAUCCAUACCUCCCCAAGACUUCAGACAUGUACUUCCAAUUGAGGCGGUCGAAGGCCUUCUCUGCAUCUAGCGCCAGGAGAAGGCCCCCUGUGCUAUUGUUUUCCAUAUGUGUCAGUAUGUUGAGGAUUCGUCUGGUGUUGUCUGAACCCUGCCGCGUCGUUGUGUACCAAGUGUCUGAGGAGUGGUGCUAUUCUGUUACUAAGUAUCUUGGCAUAGAUUUUAGCAUCCCCAUUUAGUAAGGAGAUAGGUCUGAAAUUUUUACAGUGUGUCGGUGGUUUCCCUGGCUUGGGGAGGGUGGAUAUAUGUGCCAGGAGUACUUCUGCCGGUAGGGCUCCUCUGUCAUUGCUUUGUCUGUACAGUUUCAACAAGUAUGGGGAAAGAGUAUUCACAAACAAUUUGUAAUAGGCAUUGGUGAGACCGUCGGGUCCAGGUGAUUUGUCAAUGGGUAAUUUUUUGAUCACCGAAGUGAUCUCCUCUAAGGAAAUAGGCUGUCGUAAUGACUGUAUUGCGGUCGGUGUCAGGGAGGGCAAGCAAAGGUUCUGUAGGAAUCCGUCUAUGUCCGCUACGGUCGGGACCUUAGUAGCACCAUCGUCACGUAGGUUGUACAGCUGACGGUAAUAAUCUGCAAACAUAUUAACAAUUUCCCGUGGGUCAAUGAUUUUGUGACCCUUUCCAUCUUUGAGGUAGGCAAUCCUGGAGGCGAUCGUUUUUUGUUUCAAUUGCGCUGCUAGUUUAGCGCCAGCUCUAUUCCCUGCCGCGAAGAAUUUGUGUUUUGAUUUUCGGAAGAGGUGGGUUGUUUUGGUUAAUUCUAUAUCUCGUAAUUGUGUUUGUAAGCUCAAAAGCUUCCGUUGUAGCUCUGGGGUGGGUGUGUGUUUGUUACUGUGUGUGAUGUGUUUGAUCUCAUUGAUAAGGGCUAGGUAUUGUGCCUUUUGCGUCUUGCAAGCAUGACUGGCGUGCUUUAUGAAGCUGCCUCUAAUAACUGCCUUGUGGGCUAGCCAGACAUAGUCCGGAUCAGUGUUCUGCUUAUCAUUGUCCGCAAAGUAGUUUUGCAGGUCCCGUGUGACUUGCUGGACUAUAUGUGUGUUCGUCAACAAAGUGUUGUUUAACCUCCAAGUCAUCUGGCCAGUCUGAGGGAACCGGUCCUUGAGUGUUAACGUGAUCGGUGCGUGGUCGGACCAUGUGAUAUCCCCGAUGGUAGUGUCUAGUAUCUUAAGGAGGGAAGUAGAUCUAACCAGGAACCUAUCUAUUCUGGAGUAGCUAUUGUGUACCGCCGUAUGGCAUGUGUAGUCAGUUUCAUUGGGGUGUGUAAUUCUCCAAGGGUCUACGUAAUCAUGUGUUGCUAGGAUAUCGCAUAUGUUAUGCGAUUGUGCGAGCCGUCUCUUAGAGGUGUUGGGUGCUAUUGUAUGUGAGGCCGAGGAGUCUUUAAUGCUAUCCAGAAGAAAGUUGGUGUCACCUCCAAAUAUUACCUCCCCAAAGCUGUACAUAUUCAACAAGGCAAAUAUUCGGUGCAGAAACACUUCUUGGUUAUCAUUGGGCCCAUAUAUACAGGGAGUGCAGAAUUAUUAGGCAAAUGAGUAUUUUGACCACAUCAUCCUCUUUAUGCAUGUUGUCUUACUCCAAGCUGUAUAGGCUCGAAAGCCUACUACCAAUUAAGCAUAUUAGGUGAUGUGCAUCUCUGUAAUGAGAAGGGGUGUGGUCUAAUGACAUCAACACCCUAUCAGGUGUGCAUAAUUAUUAGGCAACUUCCUUUCCUUUGGCAAAAUGGGUCAAAAGAAGGACUUGACAGGCUCAGAAAAGUCAAAAAUAGUGAGAUAUCUUGCAGAGGGAUGCAGCACUCUUAAAAUUGCAAAGCUUCUGAAGCGUGAUCAUCGAACAAUCAAGCAUUUCAUUCAAAAUAGUCAACAGGGUCGCAAGAAGCGUGUGGAAAAACCAAAGCGCAAAAUAACUGCCCAUGAACUGAGAAAAGUCAAGCGUGCAGCUGCCACGAUGCCACUUGCCACCAGUUUGGCCAUAUUUCAGAGCUGCAACAUCACUGGAGUGCCCAAAAGCACAAGGUGUACAAUACUCAGAGACAUGGCCAAGGUAAGAAAGGCUGAAAGACGACCACCACUGAACAAGACACACAAGCUGAAACGUCAAGACUGGGCCAAGAAAUAUCUCAAGACUGAUUUUUCUAAGGUUUUAUGGACUGAUGAAAUGAGAGUGAGUCUUGAUGGGCCAGAUGGAUAGGCCCGUGGCUGGAUUGGUAAAGGGCAGAGAGCUCCAGUCCGACUCAGACGCCAGCAAGGUGGAGGUGGAGUACUGGUUUGGGCUGGUAUCAUCAAAGAUGAGCUUGUGGGGCCUUUUUGGGUUGAGUAUGGAGUCAAGCUCAACUCCCAGUCCUACUGCCAGUUCCUGGAAGACACCUUCUUCAAGCAGUGGUACAGGAAGAAGUCUGCAUCCUUCAAGAAAAACAUGAUUUUCAUGCAGGACAAUGCUCCAUCACACGCGUCCAAGUACUCCACAGCGUGGCUGGCAAGAAAGGGUAUAAAAGAAGAAAAUCUAAUGACAUGGCCUCCUUGUUCACCUGAUCUGAACCCCAUUGAGAACCUGUGGUCAUCAUCAAAUGUGAGAUUUACAAGGAGGGAAAACAGUACACCUCUCUGAACAGUGUCUGGGAGGCUGUAGUUGCUGCUGCACGCAAUGUUGAUGGUGAACAGAUCAAAACACUGACAGAAUCCAUGGAUAGCAGGCUUUUGAGUGUCCUUGCAAAGAAAGGUGGCUAUAUUGGUCACUGAUUUGUUUUUGUUUUUGAAUGUCAGAAAUGUAUAUUUGUGAAUGUUGAGAUGUUAUAUUGGUUUCACUGGUAAUAAAUAAUUGAAAUGGGUAUAUAUUUGUUUUUUGUUAAGUUGCCUAAUACUUAUGCACAGUAAUAGUCACCUGCACACACAGAUAUCCCCCUAACAUAGCUAUAACUAAAAACAAACUAAAAACUACUUCCAAAAAUAUUCAGCUUUGAUAUUAAUGAGUUUUUUGGGUUCAUUGAGAACAUGGUUGUUGUUCAAUAAUAAAAUUAAUCCUCAAAAAUACAACUUGCCUAAUAAUUCUGCACUCCCUGUAUUCAUUAAUGUAAAGGGGUUGUUGUUAAGAUGGCACUGAAUGAUGAGAUAUCUACCUUUCCUAUCGCUGAUCUUGCGGACCAGCUCGAAGGUGACGUUUCUACUUAUUAAAAUGGAGACUCCUCUUUUUUUUGUGGAGCAGCAGGAGUGGUGAUCAAUCGGGAACCAGGGGGAGUUAAAUCUGGGCCGUGAGCCCCAUUUAAAAUGGGUUUCCUGGAAGAAAGCUACCUGCGCCUUAAGUUUUUUGGCUUCUAAAAGUACCAGUCGUCGUUUAUGGGGCGUGUUCAGCCCUUUGGCGUUGAGAGAAAGUACAGUGAUCGACAUCACUCCAGCUAUAAUUAGGUGGGUGGGAAUGUAUAUGGCUAUGCCGUACUACUCAGCCCCUUUUGUCACCUUACUUCGUCGAUAUCGUGGGUAGGGUUGGGAGAGGUGUGGUAGGGUAUCAACGUACAACAGUACAACUUGAACUAUAUACAAAACCCGUUAGCCGGGUGGCUUAACGCAGAGGUCUGCCGACGGGUAAUGAAGUGGCUUACCAGGUAAGCCGUGUGGGGCGCUGUGGGCGCUGAUGGGUGGUACCUGUUACUAUUUUUCUAUUUUAUGUAUUUUUUUUUUUUUUUCUUUGGGUUGGGUUACUCUGAAUUGCCGGCAACAACCGGACGUGACGCUAUACGUGUGCGUCACCCUGCUGGUACACCGUACAGGUGUUACUUCUUAACGUUACAAUUAGAUAUAGGAAAAGGGAAUAACAGUGCCAAUCAAUUAAUGUAAACAAUAAAGCAGUUCGCCGCCUGUGUGGGCUCUCGGCUGUGAGACACAUUGCAAGUGAAAACAGCUACGAGGGUGCACCAGGGGGGAGCCAAUUGUACAGUUCUUGUGUAGGAUACAUAUCUGUGUUCCAUCAGUGUUGUUCGGUAUCUUUGGGCCUCGUGUGGUGAGGUGGAGUCGUCGUUGAGCCCGCCGCGUGCCAUGGGAUAGGUCGGUAGUCCCGGGGUUGUUUUCUGGGUGGUGAAGUUGCUGGCGAACGUGCGUUGUCAAGUCGAGCCAUUGGGAUGUUCCACUCUCUGAGCAGUUUUGCGCCGUCUCGUGGAGUAAAGAUUACUAAGUCCACUCCGUUUCGUUUUAGUAGGAUUUUCGUGGGAUAUCCCCAUUUGUACGGGAUAGCUGCAUUCCUGAGCGCUACGGUGAUAGGUGCAAACCCUCGUCUCUUGAUCAUGGUAGCAAUUACAUCAAGUGUCUCUACAUUUUGAGGAGUUUCAUAAUUCUGAUCCAUCCCUUUUAAAAUUCAUAGGGAUCCAACAGAUCAAUAACAAUUGGAGAGGAGGCAAUUUGAUCCAGAAUUUAGGCCGUAUGGAGAUGAGGUGGAUAUUUGAGUUGAACACUCUCAUUCCUCACGGAAUGAACAAUGAUUUUGAGAUCUGUCAUUUUCUAUGAUUCUAUAUAUAUAUAUAUAUAUAUAUAUAUUUCUAUACAAUACACUUUUUGGAGGUGUAUCUGUAUAUAUAUAUUUUUAUGCUGUUUUGGAGAGAUAUAUUCCUCUAGACUGUUUUGGAGGGAUAUGUUCCUUUAAAUCAGUAUAAGUCUGGAGAUCCACUCAGGCUCCGUUUUAAAUAAGCUACUAAUGUGUCCAUUGAACAUUCUACUUGUUUCUAAUGUAUAUUUUGUCUGUAUAAUAUGAAAAGACAUUGCUAUUGUGUCACUUUAAAUAACAAGAUGAAAUUACACUGUAAUAAUGAUGGACUAACAAUAACAUAUGUUGUUUCCUUUUCUCUUUCUCUAUUUUUGAACUAGGUAUCUUUAAUUGAAAUAUAAGUGCUUUUAUUGGAUGUAUUCUAUUGAUUGUGGUUAGAUGAUUAGGGCUAUUUAAUAGAUUAUGUUGAACUAUUUUAAUUUUAAAAUCUUUUUUAUUGGUAUUAUUGCAUAUAUAUUGAAUGUACUGCAUUAAAAAAUUUGCUAAAUGUAUAUUUUGCUAUAAAUGGAAAUGAAAAAUAAAAAAAGAAUGUUUUAUAAGAUAAAUCAAUGUUUAUUGAUAAGGAUGCCAAACACAUGUGGACAAUAUUCAAAUGCACUAAUUGUGUGUAAAGCAAGGUAUAUAAAAGCUCCCAGAGAGGGGGAACAAUCAAGCACUUCAAGUCCUGACGAAGCCGUCUGUGAACGGAGAAACGCGUAGAUACGGAAGUACGUCAAUAAGGGGGCAGAGCCUAUUCAGAAGCCGGGCGUUUCAAAAAAGCAGAAGCAAGACCAGACGCCAUCCGGACAAAAUAAAAAGGCACCCCACAGACGAUUAGCCAUCUUCUGGUACAGGAGACAUCUGCCAGUGCGGGAAAACAUGUUUGUGGGUAAACGGAUUUACACCGUUGUACUCACCACCACAUCUAGUAAGCAAUAACCUGCUAUACAUUUUGAUAGUGUUUGGCUUCACUGUUGCAUCAAUUAAGCAGUAAUCUGCUAAACAUAUGUCAACUAAACAGUGAAUUUAGAUGUAUUUUAUGUUUUUAUUAUUAUCAUUCUUUUAUUACUUUUUAUAGCCUGUUAUGUAUUGAUUAUUAUCUUCUGUUUUUAAUUUGUGGUAAUACUGUAAUAAAUUUUCAUCCAGCUAAUUAAGCUGAUUUAAUUCAAUGUUUAUAGAAUUCAAUAAUAUUCACUGAUCCAUGCAGAUCUGUUCUAUGAUCCUUUUCAUAUAUUUUUUCCCAUAUAUGCUGAGCUUGAAUUGGGAUAUUAAGCAACAAGCAAUAAAAGUAUAAAUUUAUUUUUUUAUCACUUGAUUGCAUGUGGGAAAGGGGUUUUGUCCUUUAGCUCUAACAUUGCUCCACUUCUUAACACUAUAAGAAUUAGAUAUUUAUUUGGCAAAAUUGGAAAGACAGAAUAAAGUCAACCACACUAAGGAGAUGGCAGGUGAGAUACUGAUUACCAAGGGUAAAAUAAUAAAAAAAAAAUUACAAGAAAAUGCAGAGAAAUUACUAUCACGUCUAAAACGGAACUGCUAUUAUAAUAACAAUAGACCUGGAAAAGAACUGACCAGGAAAUUACAAAUAUACAAUCAGCAACUCGGAAUAAAACAAUCUUUUUGACGGUAAUACCUGUAUCCAGCUCAGAUAGGAAAGGCAUUUGGCCAAUAUUAUAAAUCACUUUAUAAUCUUCCAGAUUCGGAGGCUAAAAAUAUUGACAUGAGAUCAUUCCGGAAGAACCUGAAUCUCCCCUCUUUAUCCCCAUAAAAACUAGAUAGUUUAAAUCAGGCUUCCCCAAACUCCGGCCCUCCAGAUGUUGCUUAACUACAACUCCCAUAAUGCUCUAUUUAAUUCGUAGAAUCAUGGGAGUUGUAGUUAAGAGAGCCAGAGUUUGGGGGAGCCUGGUUUAAAUCAUUCUUUUACAACAUCAGAAAUUUCAUCUUCAAUAAAGGAAAUUAAAAGGGGAAAGGCUCCGCGUGCGGAUGGCUUUUCCGCUUUAUUUGUUCAAAUUCUUGAUUCAGUUGUUAAUCCUCUUAAAUAUUGGUUUCUCUUUAGAGAUCAUGGAAUACAGUAUCUCUCCUAUCUUAAAGCCGAGGAAAGAUCCAACACAAGUAACCAACUAUAGGCCUAUUUCUCUUAUUAAUUUAGGCAUAAAGCUUUUUUCUAAGAUUCUAACCCAAAGACUAAAUCAAGUGAUUCACGGAUUUAUCAAUCCAGACCAGACUGGCUUUAUGCCCGGCAGAUCAGGAGAGGAGAACACCUGCAGAGUCUUCAACAUUUUAGAGGAAAUCCAUCUUAAACAAACUUCCUCUAUUUUAAUGGCUCUCAAUGCUGAAAAGGCAUUUGAUAGAGUGAAUUGGAGGUUUAUGUUGGAGACUCUGUGGGUGUUUGGUAUAGAUGGUAUGAUGGUAUAUGAAUCUAACUGUGAAAGUCAGAGGCCCAUAUAGUGACUCUAGUGCAUUCAACAUGGCACUCGGCGGGGUUGUCCCUUGGCACCUCUCCUUUAUGUCUUAUCAAUCGAACCGCUGGCUGCCUACAUAUGAAAAAAAAUCAUUAAAAUUAAGGGUAUAAAGAUUGGCCAUCAAGAACAUGCCAUUACAUUAUAUGCGGAUAAGGCUCUCCUCUCACUCUCUUCUCCAGAAUCCUCAAUACCAGCCCUUUUGGAGGCAAUAGAUUUACUUUCCUCACUAUCUAAUUGUAAAUUAAAUCUUUCUAAAACCCGAAUAUUGACAUUCUAUAUGACCGAUAAACAAAGGCGAUAUUGGCCAAUUUGAUAUAUAUCAAAAGUCCGUAGACGAUUUAGAAACUAUUACAAUGAAUUAUGAAACCUUGUGGGGGGAACUUGAUAUAUUAUUGACUUAAUGAAAGAAAUUAGAAAUCUCAUGGCUGGGGCGGCUCAGAGUAUUGAAAUCAUGUACUCCCAAAACUUAGUUUUCUGUUUAGAACUAUACCAUAUCAAAAAUUCGAUCUGGCGUUUUCAAGAUUUGUCUUGGCAUCCAGAAAACCUAUGAUCCCUAGUAAAGAGAAGUAUGUUACAAGAUGGUUUGGAAUAUCCAGAUAUAUAUCGUUAUCAUGAUUCAUUCCAACUCUAUGCUAGCUUGGAGGAGAGGGAAAGAAACUAAUCUAGGCUGGUGCAAUAUUGAAAAAUUCAGAAUAGGAAGCUGUGAGCCAUACUUAUUAUGCUGGUCCUCUACCAGCCUAUUAAAAACAAAAUGCAAAUCGAGGGUCUUUUAAUAAAGAGCAUUAUAUUAUCAGCACAUAAAAUUAGAUAGAGAUAGAAUUGUAACAAUAUUUUUACUAAACAUACUUAUUUUGAACUCUUAUCCCAGUAGGUAUUAAUAGGCUGGGAGAUUAAUUUAAUUUAGAUAAAAUGAUAUUUCCUGGUGUCGUGAGAUCAUUUAAAUUAACUACAAAAUAAUUAUUUAAUUAGAUCAGAAUCAAACAUUUUUUUCUUAGUAAAUUCUAUAUAUAAAUUUGCUAUUUUUAACUCAGAAUUUGCAUUUGGAAUAGGACUAGAAGAGCAGUUCACUGUAUUAACCUUCACGAACAGUUUUAUAAGUUGUCUCACAGAUAGUACUUGGUUCCUACUCGUACAGCCAAAUUGCAAACAAACUCCAAUGAUCUAUGUUGGAGAUGUCGACAAAAGAUGGGAUCACAAUUCCAUAUUUGGUGGGAGUGUUUUUUAGAUAAAAUAUCAGAAAUUAUUAGAGAUACAUUAGAUUUUCCCUAUACAAUAACUCCUCAGACUUUCUUUCUGCAUUUAGAUUUUCCUGUUACAGACAAACAUACUAUAUUCCUCAUAAUAAAUAUAUUAUUGGCCUUCAAGAUAUGUUUAGCAAGACAUUGGAGAACACAAACUGUUCCAUCAUGGCCUGAGACUGAAAUUCAAAUGAAAUACCAGGCAUCUGCAGAGAAAUACUUAAUAUACUAUAAUAGGGAUGUUUCGACAAAAGCUCGAUACGAUAAGAUUUGGUCAAAAUGGUCUGCAAUAUAAAUUAAACUCAAAACUUUGUUCCCUACGAGAACAAUAUGUAAUAAAAUUGUAAAUACUCCAGAAACCUCUAAAAAUAGAGUAGUCGGAGCACACCAUGCUCUGAGAUACCAGAGACAAUAAAAUAAAUAUAAGUUAUUGAAUGAAUGUAUAUUUGUUUUCUUUUUUGUUUUUUCUCCUCACCUCUUCUCAGAUUUAAAUUGUAAAAUUUUAUAAUAUAUAUAUAGUGUCAUAAUUUGAAUCCAAGUAGAAAGCUCCAACAGAAUAAAGAGGUAAAGAGCAGAAAUUCUAUUUUGUUUAUCUGUGUACUUUGGAUUAUAUAAAUGUAAUCAAUUAUUUUGUUACCUAUAUAAUCAUAUAUGUAUUAUUUUUCCUUUUAUACAAAAUUGUUAAUAAAGAUAUAUAUUUAUAAAUUGUAAAAUAUGUUGCAUGGGAAAUAGCUUUUUUACUGCUGUUGAUGAAUGGGUAUCAGACUGUCCAUACUAAGCACCAUUAAUGACUGAUUCACCUCCGGGCGCCAAAAUCUAUGCCACUCGACAGCAAGGUCAGAGCCUAAUGUAAGGAUGUGAAAUCCUCGUGCUAAGCUCAACCCUCUCUGUCAAGUGACAGAUGGGAAGCUCCAGACCUGCCCUGUAUGCAGCGAUUAUUGCACCCUGGACAGCCGCAUCAUCAUCUCCCUACGGUAGUUACGCUACUGGUUCCAAUAAAGAAUACAUUUUGAAGAUAUUAGUGAUACAAUUUAAAAUGUAUCUAUGUUGCUCCCAUUCUGGCCUAAAUAUUGUAACAUGAUCCUCAGUUCAGUGUUUUAUUAACAAAUUCCACUGCACUGUAGCCUUUCUUUUAUAUCUGACAAACUGUGGAGUUCUGUGUUCUAUUGGACUCUUUAGCUGUGCCUGUUAUAGACCAAUAUCCCUGUGAACUUUGAGACUGAGAAACCCAAAGUUUUAAACACCCAAGACUCUGUGGACUAGUUUUGACUAUGGGUUGAUAUCCCUUUGGUCCAUACUGGACAGGCAUGCGCUAAUGGUGUCCCAUCCCAAGACGUGACACACAAUUUAUAUUUUGAAAAUAUGAAUUCUAAAAUGUUAAAAAUCUUACUUUUAGUCAAGUUUGCUGCUGCUGACUCUGCCCCUGAUCUGCCUGCUUUGCUGACAUUAUCAGAAGUAUUAUUCAAAGCCAUUCACAAUGACUUCCCAUAGGGAAGCAUUUGAUUGGGUAAGACUGUCAUGGAGGCAGAGCCAGCACAAGCCAAACAGGAGCCCUGGCCAAUCAGCAUCUACUUAUAGAUAUGCAUUGCAUCAAUGCAUCUCUAUAAGGAAAGUUUAGUGUCUCCAUGCAGAGGGUGGAGACACUCAAUGUCAGUACUGCACAUUGUGCAGCACUGCCCCAGGAAGCACCUCUAGCAGCCACAUCAGGAGUGGCCAGUGGAGUCAUCCCUAGGCUGUAAUGCAAACACUGCAUUUUCUUUGAAAUGGCAAUGUUUACUGCAAAACGCCUGAAGGUAAUGACUUUUCUGGUUCUGUCCUCCUCCAGACUCCUCUGUUCUAUGAUGGUCCUAUUUUGUUUCACGUGUGAGACUUAAUGUUUGCUCCCAGCAUGUGCCUUCAGAGUUAUCACGGUCUCAUACCAUUCAAUUGUCAUUUAACUUGCACCAUCCUUGCUAUGGAUCUGGUACAUAUAAAUGGACAUAAACAUUGUAUACUUCACAUUAAUGAAUCUUACAUAUUAAGAUGUAUACACUUAUAUGUAUGGCCGUAUGCCUGAAUAAACAAAGUACUACCUAGUUUGUAAGCUCAAAGGCUGCACUUUGUAAGGCACUACAAGAGCAGUCAAGCAAUCCAAUGUCCUGAUGACAGAGAGACACAAGCACAGACACACAACAGUGAGUGGUUAAGUAUUCAUACUUCGGUAAAAUUCGCAAUGAACCAUUAGAUAACCAAGUUUGCUUUGAAUAGUGUUAUAGUCAUGGUGAACAUGUCCAUAAAUGGAUGCCCCAAAAUUGGUCAAGAACCGAUUUAAUUGCAUGUCUGAGCAGACAGUCAAUUCUAAGAAUGGAGGUAACUUUACUAAGAAUCUUCAACUUGGACUAAAAGCCUCUGGAUGGACCUAGGUCCCAUCACUACACUGCAUUCUUCUUUUAGUCUGCAUGUAAGAAUAAAAAAAUUACAAAAUUGUGUUACAAAAAAAUCAUUUAUAUCACAGAUUUGAAAUGCAAGAUGACAGAAGGAUAAGCAAAUUAAAUUAUAAAUGGCAAACUUUGUACUUUAUCUUAAAAAGGCACAAUCAAUAAUUUUAACGGUUGUGCUUAUCUGCAUCCUGUUCAAGUUAGAAACUAACGAAUGGAGCUAAAGUCUGACUUAUAGGGUAAUCGUAAUUGUAGCAUGGUUCUUAGCAGCAUUGUUAAGAGUUAUACAAGUAAAAAAAUAUAUAUAGUUAUAUGAAAAAGUAGAUACAAUUAAGCAAGACAGAUAAUCUAGGGAAACUUAAAAACAAGACAUUUUUUUAGAAUUUCUGGAUUUAGAAUAUAUUAAACUUUCCCCUGCAGAGGUAACCUAAUUAUUUACUGACAGAAUAUUCAGGAAUAUGUCUUGACUUUAAGAGAGGUCUUUGUGUAGCGAUACCUUUGAAGCUAUGAAAGGUAUUUGAGUGGAUAUGGGAACUCUCUCUUAAUACAUAAAAUAUCUAACCCAUUUUAAUCUACACAGCAUUGGCAUCCGAUUUCUCAAAGCAAUGAAUAAAAUUAUAAGAAGUAAAACCAUACAGAAUAAUACAAAAUUAGUUUUUAAUGCACAACUUAAUGAGUGUGCUUGUUUGCCAACAAAACCCUUGACAAUGACAAAUGACUAAUUGUACUGUAGCUGGUUUCACAGUGAAUUAACCCAGAAACCACCAAUUUUUAAUUACAGGAACUUCUAGCAUGGAAUAAAUUGUGACAGAUGCAAGAGAUAACUAAUAGAAAGAGCUAUAAGUCAUCAAAGAGUUGGUGUUGAAUUCUUAAACAAAGAUUUGUGAACGUUUCCUCUCUGGCCCCUUAACAGUUAUAUGAUAGACAUCUGCUUAAGCUGGUAGUAGAUGAUCGUGAACAAGUCAAGGGAUCACUGUUCAUUGAUAGUUAAAGGGAAACUAUGGGGUAAAAAUUACAUUCUAUUUUAAUGCAUUGUAUAGAUAAUACAUUUAAAAUAUAAUGCAAGAAGAGAUAACUAGAAAAGCUACAAUUUCUGGAGAAAUUGUGUGAAGUGUUCUUGCCUCCACCAGUAGUCUACAACUGGAGUGGGUGGAGUAACUGUUAUUAUUUAUAUAGCUAAUUUAAUUGCAACGUUGUUGCCCAAAGUGCUUCACAGUUACAUUAAAACAUACAUUUAUAAAAACAUUAGCAGGUGUACAAAAGGCCCUCUCUAUGACAUCACUUGCUGUUCCAGCCUAGCACAGGUCAGAGUAUUUUGGCGGUUGCCAUCUUCUAACGGUCGUAUUUUACAAACUAUAAAUCCUACAGCUUUAUAUUGUGAGAAUCACAAAACCCAGACCUACAUUUUGAUGCAUAGUAUGUCUCUGAAGUAUUAAAAAUGAAGGCACAGUCGCAGUUUAGAAAUUGCCCUUCAUAUUUAAGCUGGCUGGAGUGGAGUUUCAAUGAAUGUCAAUGGACAGCGUGAGUUGCAAACAAAUGGUCAUAUUGUGAAAUCUAUCAGGACUAUGGCUUAGCCGUGGACAUUUUUAGUGGCAGCAGGGAUAGCUGAAUGUUUUGAUAUAAGAUUUGUGUAGGUGGGCUUGAAAAUGAGGGAGUGGUGGCAGUUUAGAAAUCGUGUCCUGAAUUUUCAGCUUUUGCCAGCUCCCACUCUAGUUUUGAACAUUUUGCCAUUCAUUCCUAUGGGAUCAAUUUCGCCACAAGAACGACGAUAUUCCGUGAACCAUUCGGCGAAACGUUCCACAAAGUAAUAGCAAUCCGAUUGGAACAAUCCGCACGUUUCGGUAUAUUACUGUCUAUGUAGUGUAAAAACUGUGGGAGGAGUUAGGGUGGUAAAUUUGGCUAGAAUAAGAAUAAGAAUAAUAUAUAUGUGAGAUAACAUUAAGUGGUCUUGCUAUGCAAGUAAGGCAAGUAAGUGUUAAGGCAAGUAAGUGACUGUAACAAAACUGAGUGGAAACUAGGGAUGUCCAUGGGCAAAAAAUUUGGUUCGGUUCGGAAUAAUUCGACACUUCGGUUUGGUUCGGCACUUCCAAAAUUUGGGACUUCGGCAUUUCGGAGCUUCGGCAACUCAGAACUUUGCCAAUUCUAAACAUCUGUAGAGCUCCCUAACCAUACCACUAACCUUAACCCUACCCCAUUGGCGGAUCCAGGGGGGGGGGGGCAACGGGGCAAUUGCCCCCCCCGAGAAAUCCGCCGGUCUCCCUCCCCUGCCAGCCGUGCAAUGUGCCUGCGGACCGGGGAGGAAGAUCAGAGAUCUCCCUCCCCCGUCCGCAGGCACUGUGCUGACAGCCGGCGGCGGAGGGAGAGGGAGGACCCGGAGCUCAGGCUGCGGCUCCUCCGGGUCCUCNNNNNNNNNNNNNNNNNNNNNNNNNNNNNNNNNNNNNNNNNNNNNNNNNNNNNNNNNNNNNNNNNNNNNNNNNNNNNNNNNNNNNNNNNNNNNNNNNNNNACAAACACUGUCCCCAUACACACACUGCCCCCCCAUACACACACUGCCCCACAAACACUGUCCCCCAUACACACACUGUCCCCAUACACACACUGUCCCCAUACACUCACUGCCCCACAAACACUAUCCCCAUACACACACUGCCCCCCAUACACACACUGCCCCACAAACACUGUCCCAAUACACACACUGCCCCACAAACACUGUCCCCAUACACACACUGCCCCACAAACACUGCCCUGACAUACACUGCCCCACAAACACUGUCCCCAUACACACACUGCCCCACAAACACUGUCCCUGACAUACACUGCCGCACUCACACACUUCACCCUUAACACACACCACUGCUCCUAUACCCUAUAUCCCAGUAGACCCCAGGUAAGUUGUCAAACUGUUCUUAAACAGUAUGACUACUUACUCUGGGGUGGAAUCCUGGCACUACUGACACCAUAACUACUACACUGAGCUGUAGUAGUUAUUGUGCCUGGAUUAUUUAUUUAACCCCUUAAGGACACAACUUCUGGAAUAAAAGGGAAUCUUGACGGAAUAUUUCCGUCAUGUGUCCUUAAGGGGUUAAAUAAUCUACAAGUGCCCCUCCCGAGAUCAGGCUCUGGAUCCGCCACUGCCCUACCCUUAACCCUAGUCCUUCCACUAAACCUAACUCAUCAUUCAUGUAAUUUUCCCUCCCUCUUUUGUUUUUUCAGAAAUCUGAAGCACUUUGGAAAUUCGGAAGCAUCCGGAUUUCUGAAUUGCCCGAAUUUACAUUCUGAACUAAACGAAUUGCACAUGUCUAGUGGAAACCAGUUACUAUCAGUAAUGAUAGUGGAGCGCUAAAAAACGUUAAUUAUGUAAUUAUGAAUAUACAACAGUAUGCUAGAUAAAUAAAACACUGUCCCUGACAAUAUAGUGUAGUAUUUUAGAUGAAGCCAAUGUGAGUGUAAAUAUAAUCAAUAUGCACUCACAAGGGGUAGAGCCAAAUAAGGAGAGGCUCAGAUCUCAUGAGCAGAUGUGUCCUGAUGAGACACAGGUCCUCUUCAGUCUUUGUCCAUAGUGGCUCAAUGGGAGAUUUAGAGCAAAUAACAAAUACAGCUGAUGGUAAAGUACAGUUCUGCUUUAAGGGGAACACUUUCCUUAUUUGGUCCAGGAAGCAGUAGAAAUGGAGUAGCACAAAUUGGAAGUUAAAAAACUAUUACAUUUAUAAAACAAAAGUGUAACAUAUAUCAAAUAUAAAAUAAAAGAUAAAGUUUAAAGUACUUCAGUCCUGCUGAGACACUUUUCACCACAUUCAGUGGCUUUCUCAAUCGGUGCCUGCUUCCUUCACGCAUCCAUCUUUUAAAUCCUCAACCACUUCCUUAUAGGUCACUUGCUCAGAAAUUCAUCCAAUCACGGAUGUUCUAUUUGGAAGUUGUGUAUAUCAUAGCUGAUUUUCGUAUAUAAAUGAUGUCUAAGGAAGUGGUGCGGUAGUUGUUUGUGUUGCCUCCAUUUUAGUUUUUAUUCUGCCAUUUUGGUUAAAGGCAUGUUAAGGGAAAGAAUCAUGUAAACCCGAAAACCGGAAGUGACGUGUCGGUCCUAAAAUUGCGUCACUUCCUGGUUACAGUUUCCUGGUUGUGCAGUAUCAGAUCUCCAGUUGGUUAAGAAAUGACAAAUGUUUAAUUGAUUUAAAAACUAGAAUAUAAAUAUUACACUUACAUAACACAAUAAAAAUAUAUAUAAAUAUAAAAAUAUAUAUAAAUAUAAGACUCAACCUCUAUUUACAAAGCAUAUAAUUGCAAUUUAAAUUGUCAAGGAACAUAUUAAGAUGUAUUCAUAUAAAUUGAAAUGAAAUCAUUUAAAAAAAAUAGAAAUAAAAUCAUUUUAUAAAAAAUGGCAGAACUCAAAGUCAUUAUUAAGUGCAUUGGGCACCAAUGCAUUCAGAUUGAAAAUCCAUUUCAUUUCAGUCCGCCACAUUUUUCUAAUCAUAUCUUUGCCUCUCCAAUCUAGCACUACUUUUUGAAUUUCAAUGAAUUCUGUACCUCUGUGAAUUCUGUUUAAUUUUAUAAUGUAGUGAUAGAUUUUGUUUUUCACAGCCAUUCUUUAUAUUUCUUAAAUGUUCUUGAAUUCAGACAUUCAAUUUAUGAGUCGUGCGUCCUACAUGAAACAGGCCACAAAGACAUUUAGUCAAAUAUAUCACUGUUGUUGAGUGAUGUGUAAUAACCUGUUUAAUGUGAAAGAUGUUGUCUUUUUGUGUAAAUUUUUAACCAGACGUUUAUGAUUCCCAGUGUUCUUGCAUGCGCAACAUUGUCCGCAUCCAUAGAAUACUUUGGAUUCUUUAAAAAACUGGGUGGUUUCUUUGGUUUUAAAGUGACUGUGUACUAGAUUAGUUUUAAAAUUGAAUACCCCUCUAUAUAUAAUACGACGCUUAUCUACAGUAUUUGACGUAAAAUUUUGUCAUUUCUUAAAAUGGGCCAAUAUUUGUUAAAAAACAGUGCCUGUAUUUACUUUAUAUUGUAAUAGUGUCUCUCUGGUGUGCUUGUUGUAAUAAGCUGUCCUUAUACCCUUUAUCUUUAAAGUUUUUAAAACAUUUUUAGGAUUGUUCUUGAAAUUUCGUUUCAUCUGUGCAAUUUCUUUUAAUACGUACAAGCUGUGCUUUGAGGGCUUUUGUGAGCCAUGGUGAAUAGUGGCAGCUGCUCUCUUGAAUAUAACUAUUCACAUCUACUUUCUUAAAGAACGUACUUGUUUUAAGUAGACCUUCCUCUACAUAAAUAUUAAGAUCUAAAAAGGUCAUCUGAGUAUAGCUAAAAUCGCUAGUAAGAAAAAUUCCCCAAUCAUUAAGAUUUAGAUAUGCUAAAAAGGAAACUAGGGAGUUCUCAUCUUCCUUCCAAAUAAAACAUAUGUUGUUUAUGUAACGGCGAUAGGUGACCAGCUUCGCAUCCCACCUAUGUUCCUUCAAAAUGAAUUCAUGUUCCCACAAGUACAUAAAUAAGUUUGCGUAACUGAGUGCAAACCUGGUCCCCAUCGCCGUUCCACAUAUCUGAAAUUAAUUUGAUCCCCUCCAGAAUAAACUCAAUGUGAGUCUGAAGGACCUUCUUGGAAUUUUCCAAAAAGUGUCUGGUGGCUUGACAGCCUCAUUCAUGUUCAAUAGUGUACAGUGAGCUCACAUCUGCAGUCACUAAAAAGUAAUCCUGUUCCCACUGUACACGAUUCAGAACCUGGAGGAUGUCAAUAUUAUCCCUCAGGUAGCCUGGACAAUUGUGGACAAUUUGUUGGAGGUUCCGAUCAAUAUAUUGUGACAAUCGGCUCAAGGUGGAGUUAAUCCCUGAGACUAUAGGUCUCCCAGGGGGGUUUUCUUUGUCUAUCUUUGGGAGGUAAUAGAAAACCAGAAUCUUAGGAUGGGGAAUGUUUAAAAAUUCUGAUUCUUUUUUUGUUUAGUAUACUCAAGGUUUUUUCCUUUCUCAAUCAGCCUGCUGUAUGCACUCAGGAAGGAAGUGGUUUGGGAUUUAAAAGAUGGACACGUGAAGGAAGCAGGCACCAAUUGAGAAAGACACUGAACGUG
RNAcentral lists this long non-coding RNA (44286 nucleotides) under Pelobates cultripes (western spadefoot toad). The record is from RNAcentral. Lineage: Eukaryota; Metazoa; Chordata; Amphibia; Anura; Pelobatidae.